UAGGUACAUGUGCUGUCACAGAAAUGGUAUGAGGGUGACAGACCUCGAUUUCCUCAUUUGUUGCUUUGGUUUGAAGUUCUGUACAAGAAAUGUUGCUGCAUCCCCUCACUCAGAGGGGAAGGGACCUGUGGUGGAUGCCCUGCAAAGCAGAGGAGUGCCAGCUGGGGCUGCAGGAGGAAGCUUUCCCUGCCUCUGCCUCUUUUACAGGUGCUUUUCCUAAUGCCAGCAUGGAUCAAACCCAGGUGCUGCAGCCCAUGGCAAGGAGGGAGGAGUGGGAGCAGCAGGGCAGGAAUCCCCUGCUUUCCCACCAGGUGAGUGUCCAGCAGGGCAGGAAUCCCCUGCUUUCCCACCAGGUGAGUCUGUGUGCCUGGCUUCAUGCUCCCAAGACACUCUGAUCAGGGCUUCUAGAUUCUCUGCCAAUAAUAUUGUUUUCCUCGUUCCAUAAAGGUCUUUUUUCAGCAACAAGUAUUAGAAGUUGUGAAUUUUUUGCCUGAUCUACCUGAUGUGUGCUGCUGUUUCCAGGUGAAAUGUCUGAUGUAGUUCUGAUUGUUGAGGUGCUAGCCUGUCACAUCCCUUCAGUGUCCAAGCUGAAGUAAAGAAGAAGUAAAUAUUCAAUGUCAGCUUUCAUGGAAUGAAAUAAUUGGUUGCAUAACAUUAAAGAGUUUUUAAAGGAAUAUUUACCUCAGUAUUAUGG
RNAcentral lists this long non-coding RNA (694 nucleotides) under Junco hyemalis (dark-eyed junco). RNAcentral describes it as "lncRNA (ENSJHYG00000001159.1)". Lineage: Eukaryota; Metazoa; Chordata; Aves; Passeriformes; Passerellidae. The record is from RNAcentral.